This 79-nucleotide transfer RNA is filed under the name Acidianus sp. RNAcentral describes it as "tRNA-Arg". It matches the Rfam family "tRNA". Rfam says of the family: Transfer RNA (tRNA) molecules are approximately 80 nucleotides in length. Their secondary structure includes four short double-helical elements and three loops (D, anti-codon, and T loops). Further hydrogen bonds mediate the characteristic L-shaped molecular structure. tRNAs have two regions of fundamental functional importance: the anti-codon, which is responsible for specific mRNA codon recognition, and the 3' end, to which the tRNAs corresponding amino acid is attached (by aminoacyl-tRNA synthetases). tRNAs cope with the degeneracy of the genetic code in two manners: having more than one tRNA (with a specific anti-codon) for a particular amino acid; and 'wobble' base-pairing, i.e. permitting non-standard base-pairing at the 3rd anti-codon position. The record is from RNAcentral. Lineage: Archaea; Thermoproteati; Thermoproteota; Thermoprotei; Sulfolobales; Sulfolobaceae. RNAcentral also lists the same sequence under 5 other names.
GGGCCCGUAGCCCAGCCAGGAUCAGGGCGCCAGCCUGCGGAGCUGGAGGUCCCGGGUUCAAGUCCCGGCGGGCCCGCCA